This 374-nucleotide unclassified non-coding RNA is filed under the name Russula sp. RNAcentral describes it as "partial contains 5.8S ribosomal RNA, internal transcribed spacer 2, and large subunit ribosomal RNA". RNAcentral also lists the same sequence under 2 other names. Lineage: Eukaryota; Fungi; Basidiomycota; Agaricomycetes; Russulales; Russulaceae. The record is from RNAcentral.
AACGCACCUUGCGCCCCUUGGCAUUCCGAGGGGCACACCCGUUUGAGUGUCGUGAAAUCAUCAAAACCCUUUUCUUUGAUCCCUAUUGUGGUCAGGAAAAGGAUUUUUGGACUUGGAGGUUUCAUGCUUGCUUUUGCUUUCAAAAGUGAGCUCCUCUCAAAUGAAUUAGUGGGGUCUGCUUUGCUGGUCCUUGACGUGAUAAGAUGUUUCAACGUUUUGGAUUUGGCACUGUCCCUUGGAUGCCUGCUUUUAACUGUCUCUCGAGACAAUGAUGGUGCUUCGGUCACCGGCCAAUCUACAUUGGCGGGGAGGCUGGACCCACAAAAAGAAAAGACCUUGACCUCAAAUCGGGUGAGACUACCCGCUGAACUUAA